GACGAACGCUGGCGGCGUGCCUAAUACAUGCAAGUAGAACGCAGUUGCGAACGGGUGAGUAACGCGUAGGUAGCUGCCUCAUAGCGGGGGAUAACUAUUGGAAACGAUAGCUAAUACCGCAUACUGUGAGCUGGACCUGCGUUGUAUUAGCUAUUGGGUGAGGUAAAGGCUCACCAAGGCGCCGAUCCAUAGCCGACCUGAGAGGGUGGUCGGGCAAACUGGGACUGAGACAAGGCCCAGACUCCUACGGGAAGCAGCAGUAGGGAAUCUUCGGACAUUGACGGAAGUCUGACCGAGGAACGCCGCGUUAGUGAAGAAGGUUUUCGGAUCGGAAAGCUCUUUUGUUAGAGAAGCGGUAACUACCCAGAAAGGGACGGCUAACUACGUGCCAGCAGCCGCGGUAAUUC
Molecule: ribosomal RNA, 407 nt
Filed under: uncultured bacterium
Lineage: Bacteria
Description: partial 16S ribosomal RNA
Rfam family: Bacterial small subunit ribosomal RNA
Source: RNAcentral